RNAcentral lists this ribosomal RNA (213 nucleotides) under Triticum aestivum (bread wheat). Its description in RNAcentral is "partial small subunit ribosomal RNA". Lineage: Eukaryota; Viridiplantae; Streptophyta; Magnoliopsida; Poales; Poaceae. The record is from RNAcentral.
AUGAGGGCGGCUUGGAAUUGUGCCCAGGCAGUUCGUUUUUGGCCAAUUGGCCCAAAUCUGUUUGUUGUUCAAGUUUACUGCCUUGGUGAUUGGGAUAGUAUCAUGUCCCAGGGGCCAUGGCUGUUCCGCAAUAUGGCAGUCCUGUUGACGCCUUAUGAUGGUUUCUCAAACGCCGAGGAGGUGCCGAUAGUGUACAUGCCAAUCUGGCUCUAG